GAUCCAAAAACAUGUAACGACCAUCAAAACAGCUUGAGAGCUACAAAGCAGAAACCAGUAAAAGAUUCAACAACUAAAAAUAUUCAAAAGCUAAAAAAUUUAGUUACCUGCUCUCAUCCUUUUAGAAGAGUAAUUUUUCAUAGAGAGAAGUCAAUAUACAGAGGUAUAUCUUCAAGGCUUCAAGCACCAGUCAGAAACCAAUUUACAUGUCCAAGAGGAACAUUUUUAUCAAUUAGAUUCACACAAAAAGAAACAGAGAACAAAAACGAAGAGAAGAAAAUAUAAGAUAACAUCGUAGUUAUAAAGCAAUCAGUUGAACUAUCAGUUAAUACACAGAAUGAAAAAUCUUUCGCAGUCAUACAAAGAAGAAAAGAGAAAAAAAUAAAAUAAAGCUUUGAUCUUUUUUCAGCAGUCAGUAGCGGAGGUGACUACCAUUAGUUGUUUCUAUUUUGAUCUGAGUAAUAAAGUAUAGUGAAAUCAUGAGUUACCUGCUCGUUGGAGUCUGAGAUGAGCGUGGGAAGAUCUCCAGUUGAGACGACCUCUUCCUUUUUUUAUCAUUGAACAUAGCAGCUCGGCGGAGGAGUCAACGGAUUUGCCGUUUGGUUUCUUCGACUUAGGAUCGCCGGAGACAACGUCUUUUCCGUUUGGUUUAUUCGCGGUAAGAUCGUUUUGGAAUUUUCUGCUAGAAUUCAUCGUUUGAGUGUUUUUUUUUUCUGUAACAAUUCUGUGAAAAGAAGAGACUUAUAAAGAGAGGUAGAGAGGAUAAGGCGAAAGGAAUCCAUUAAUGUGAAACUCAGAGGAUUCAUUGCUCACUAAUGAAUAUGGUGUCGAUUGAAACGGCGAAGGGAGGAGUUGUCGAAGAGAUUCAUUUAGGGUUUUCAAAGAGCGAAGAGAAGAGAGACGUCAAAGAUUCACGACAUUAUCCGACUUUAUCGGACCAGGGCUUUUGAUCAACAUGUUUCUUCGUUUUUCACGAUUAAAAAAAAGUACAGCCCAAGACCGGUCCAAUUCGGUUUGACGUGGAAAAACUAAGCAACCUCAUUGGUUGAUUUUAAUGGUCGACGUGGACACCCUCUUUACUCUUCAUAUUCGACUUUUAGUAGUGUUAGAUUUUGAUCCUUUCAUGUAAUAUACAAUAUGAUUUUUUAUUGCAUUACUAAAAACCGAUUGAUAGUUGUAAAUACUUAUAUGAAUCGUGAUUACAUUACUAAAAUUAUGGUGUACGCUGAUGGUUAUUAACAAUAUCCUUGAUAACUACGAAAUGUUGUCUUUCCCAAAUAUGGUGUGGCAUAAUAUUAGUAUAUUUUUUGAUGUAUAUACUGCAUUAUUUUACAAAUCCGUAGUAUAAUAUUAGUGGAUUCUUUGAUGUGUAUGUUAUAUUAUUUUAUAUAAGUUAGCAUACAUUAAGUUUAUUUGUCUUAGCUAUUAUAUCAUGGCUAUAUAACAAAUUUCGAAGGCUAAGUCAAAAAUCCCUAUUUUAUAAUAUAUUGUUAUUAAUCAUGUUCUCGAGUGAUUGCAAAAUACAUUAAAAACGAAUUCCAUAUUAAAUUGCUUGCAAUCCCUUAACUUUUGCAGCAAGACUUUUUUUUAUUACAAAAUUAACAUAAAUGCUGACAGACAUUAAUUUGGAAAUUUAUAUAAUUCUUUCCGGUUAAGUUUAAAGUCAAAUAUCAUAUUCUUUACGAUUCAUAAAUGAUACAUGACAUUUUUUAGGGACACGAUUCAUAAUUAUGUUCUUCUAUAAACUUUGGUAUGUUACAUUAAUUUUGAUUAAUUUGUUUUGUAUUUUAUGGGAUACGUGACAUUUACUUUGGGAUUGAUCAAUAGAGACUCGAUUAUAUUGUAAAUCAAAAGAUCAUAUAUAAAAAAAUUUAACGCAAUCUCGAAUGAUUGUAAAAUACAUUCAAAAAGGAAUGACAUAUUAAAUUUCUUUCAAUCCUUUAACUUUUGCAACAGGAUUUUUUUAUUACGAAGUUAACAUAAAUAGUGAUAGACAUUAAAUACGGAAAUUUAUAUAAUUCUUUUCGGUUAAGGUUAAAGUCAAAUAUCAUUUUUAAUAUGGACUUCUUUUAUUUUGGCUCUUUGCAUAUAAUACUUUCUAUAAUUGUAUGAAAAUGUACGAAAAAUUAGGGAUUUGGAACAUUCCUUUGUGGCAAUGGGAUAUUCAUUUUUUUCAAAUUUCUCGGGUCAAAACUUUAUUAGUUGUGUAUAUAUAUAUCAUACUAUCCUAAUAUCUACGGUAUUGCAACCUAAACGUUUCAAAACUAGCAAAGAAAAUGAGUGGCAUAAAUUUCAUCUUUGAAUUGAAGCCAAAGAAGUCUUUGUGGAAGAUUAGGAUGAAAGUCAUAAAACUUUGGAAGCAGUAUUUGGUUGCUGGUGGAGAGAGCAUUGAAAUGGUUUUCUUGUGCUGUAUAUUCUUUAAAUCUUAAAAAAUAUCAAAUGUUACUUCUGCUAAUCUAUAUAGAGGUGUUUAAUUUGGAUGUCGGUUUGGUUUCUUCGGUUUUUCAGUAUUUCAAUUUAUAAAAAAUAUCUAUCAUAUUAAGACUAUAUCUAUUUUGGUUUGAUUCAGUUUAUAUACAGUCAUUCCCGAUUUAUUUGAUUUUAUACCAAAAUACCAUAAAUAUAAUCGUUUAUUACAUUUUUUGCCUUUAAUAACAGUUUGUUUCAAAAAAAUAUUUAUCUUUUAUACUUUUGUAAAUUUUACUUUUAUAUAACUAGAUAUUAGCUUUAAUAAAACAUGAAGAUACUUUGGUUAUUAAAUAGACUAUUUUUCUUUUACAAUUUAAAAUAAUUAGUAAACAUAUUAAGCUGAUAACAAUAAUAUUUUCUAUAGAAUAGAAAAAUUAGCAAUCUGUAAUAUUAUUAAAUAAAUAUUAGUAUACAUAUAUGUCAGCGAAAAAAAUAAAAUUAUGUUUUUUUAAUUUGAUAAAGAUUAAAUAUAUCUUUUGACUUAAAACAAAAUAUUAAAUUAGUAAAAUAAAAAUUUUAAGUAUGAAGAUCAUAUCAAUAAAUAAAUUAUGUAUAUGUUACUAAUUAUAUUAUAGAAUUUACAUAUAAUUAUACAACAAUAUUUUCAUUUUAUUCGCUUUGAUCAGUAUAAUCGGUUUAUAUACCAAACCAUAUCCAUAGAGCGCGUUUUUAGAAAAUAACAUUCAUCCAUACCAAAUUCAAAACAUUUUUUUAUUUCGGUUUGGUUUUACCGGACUGAACUCCUAAAGCUAAACCAUGUAUAAUAUUUCACUAUUGUUUUUACCUAUUCAAUAUCUAUUGAUUAAAAUUUAUAAUUCUUUUUAGUUUAUUCACUCGGCGCAGCAUCACCAUGUAAACAUUUGUAUUUCAUGAAAAUUUUGUAUAAUAUAUGUCUUCCUAAAUUUUGUAUAAUCCGGUUUGAUUACGGUUCACCUUCGAAUAAGUAGACGUUAAAUGGAAACCAGACAACACGGUCUCGCGAUGUCGUCAUCGUCUUCCUCCUCCUCUAGGUCACGCACCAAAUGUUCAUCCCUCAAUUAUCCGUCUAAGAAGCUCAAUUACAUGAUCUGCUUGUCUCCAUCCCUUGGUCCCUCUCAAUCUCCUCGAACCAUGAAUAUAAAUGGGCGUGCGAAGGCUGCACCUUUCUGAACACCUACAAGAACUCAGUGUGAGGACGCGAUCGCCGUCGUCUUCUCCUCCCCUGAUUUGACCGAUUCGGGUCUCGAAAGCAAAAACAUGAACAAUCGGAUUGCUCUCCCGGGUGGGUUUUCCUUCCUCCGCGGCGGUUAGCAAGCGCAAUGCCAUGUUUGACGACGCCAUCGAGGUUGAUGGUGGUUCGGAGAAGAAGAUCAACGAAAGGUGAGUUCCAUCUGCGAGAUUUGGAAGCGCGAUUUUUGUGUGUUCUUCCCUGAGAUAGAUGAGAUUUUCUUGGAAAUCGAACUGGUGGAAAGAGUAUACUUGUUUUCUCUCAGUAGAUGCGACUCAAUCACCGUGGCUAAUUCUGCAUGCUGACUGGUUUUUCUGUUAGUUUACAAGCUUGGAGAAUCGAGAUGGUUGGGAAAGAGGCGAUUCCUGGUUUAUCCUAUGUGUAAGGGAAGAGGGUGAGGGGCGAUCAAGAAGUUAGAGCUUCCAGUGUUUCCUAGCGAUCAUUUCGCUCUGCUUUUAACUCUCUGCCCAUAUGAGAUUAAACAAUCGGAGCUCUAAGUUCCUUUUUCCCCUCUGGAAACUCGUGGUUGGAAUACUGAUAAGAGGUUUCAUGUUUUUUUUCUUCAUUGUUUUGAACUGAGCGUCUUAUGGCCAACGCCAACACUUGUAAUGAAGAUUAUGAAACUAAUCAGAGUAUCACUAAACACAUGAGAUAUGUUUUAAUAUAGCAGGGUCUGGUUUCAGACAGUUACUAAGUUA
Molecule: long non-coding RNA, 4374 nt
Organism: Brassica rapa (field mustard)
Lineage: Eukaryota; Viridiplantae; Streptophyta; Magnoliopsida; Brassicales; Brassicaceae
Source: RefSeq, a predicted model, not a curated record